Molecule: non-coding RNA, 866 nt
Organism: Nicotiana tabacum (common tobacco)
Lineage: Eukaryota; Viridiplantae; Streptophyta; Magnoliopsida; Solanales; Solanaceae
Source: RefSeq, a predicted model, not a curated record
UUCCCCCAUUUGGGAACCCUAGAGCCAGCCGUUCCCACCCUUUUAACUCCACAUGAAAAAUGCUCCAUACCUUAGCUACACACCAUCAAAAAUCGGCGACACCAUACACAACACACACAUAGAAGUAGAGAUGAAAUAUUGGACCCUCAUUUCCUAACCUAGCAGCGUCGUCGCCUUGUUCAUCGUCUUCUCCACGUGGACUUUCCCUCCAUUUCAAAGAAAAAACUAAACGGACCCUCCCCUCCCAUGGCGGUUCUUUCUUCUUCACUUCACCGCAUGAAAGACAUUAAAAAUUCUUGAAUCCCAGAUCUGGAAAACUCAAAAAGCUCCAAAUUAGAAAGGAAAACUAGAAUUUGAACAAGGAGCUUCCAUUUUCUUCUGGAUUUCGGUAUUAACUUUCUGGUUUGCUGAGGAACUCGCUGCUGCUUCUCUUUGCUGUUGGCUUGAGCAUCAUCCGCUAUUUUCGGCCUUCAUUUGGCUCACUUCAGCCUCAUUCUUUGUUCGAUUUAGAGGAGUUCGAGAUUCAUCUUCCAUUUCUAGAUUUUCGGCAAUUAGAGACAGCAGCUGACGCAGGCAAGGAUUUCGUUAAUUAAAGCGCACAGAUUGAUAGUUCUCGGUGAGCCUUGCACUUGUUCACGUGGGCAGAGAUUUUAUUUAUUUUCAUGGUCUUUUUUGAACUCUUAGAGUCGCUCCAUGGUCAUUCUUUUAGUGUCUUGAGUAGUCUUUGUUAUUAUAGACUUAUGUUGAGUAACGCUCAUUCCUAUAAAAAUUUGGAGAUAUAGUAGUAUUUCUAGUUGGUAGUGGGUGAACUGUUAAAAGUAGAUUAUUUUGGUUAUUUGAUAAAGUCAUUGUCAUUUGAAAUGCUA